This 359-nucleotide long non-coding RNA is filed under the name Phoenix dactylifera (date palm). Its description in RNAcentral is "long non-coding RNA (PDAC_LNC010442)". The record is from RNAcentral. Lineage: Eukaryota; Viridiplantae; Streptophyta; Magnoliopsida; Arecales; Arecaceae.
GAGUUGAAGACCAGUUGAUCGAUUGACGUGCAUGUGCUUGUAAUACGACCUAACUAGAAUCCAUGAUCAUCACCUAUUUAAAGUUUAGCUUUAAUUAUUGCUGCGAUUAUAACUGCCUGCAAUGUGCCGUUUGCAUGAUGUGAAUGAGAGUCGGUUAGAUAGGUUUACAUGUGAUGUAGCAAACCCAAUUGAGACCUUAAUUAAAACCUCCUCAAUCAAGUCGAGAGUAAACCAACAUGAGCAAGUCAUAUUAGAUUAAUUGAUCUAAUUGGUGUCUAGAAAAGCAUGAAAGGUGGUUACUUAAUUAGGACCUUACUCUCUGAGUAAGGGGAGCCUCCCACCUGCUUACCUGGCCAAUU